RNAcentral lists this ribosomal RNA (465 nucleotides) under Vreelandella stevensii. Its description in RNAcentral is "partial 16S ribosomal RNA". It matches the Rfam family "Bacterial small subunit ribosomal RNA", at positions 338 to 795 of the family's 1533-position model. Lineage: Bacteria; Pseudomonadati; Pseudomonadota; Gammaproteobacteria; Oceanospirillales; Halomonadaceae. The record is from RNAcentral.
CCUACGGGGGGCAGCAGUGGGGAAUAUUGGACAAUGGGGGGAACCCUGAUCCAGCCAUGCCGCGUGUGUGAAGAAGGCCCUCGGGUUGUAAAGCACUUUCAGUGAGGAAGAACGCCUGGUGGUUAAUACCCAUCAGGAAAGACAUCACUCACAGAAGAAGCACCGGCUAACUCCGUGCCAGCAGCCGCGGUAAUACGGAGGGUGCGAGCGUUAAUCGGAAUUACUGGGCGUAAAGCGCGCGUAGGUGGCUUGAUAAGCCGGUUGUGAAAGCCCCGGGCUCAACCUGGGAACGGCAUCCGGAACUGGCAAGCUAGAGUGCAGGAGAGGAAGGUAGAAUUCCCGGUGUAGCGGUGAAAUGCGUAGAGAUCGGGAGGAAUACCAGUGGCGAAGGCGGCCUUCUGGACUGACACUGACACUGAGGUGCGAAAGCGUGGGUAGCAAACAGGAUUAGAUACUCCAGUAGUC